Molecule: ribosomal RNA, 492 nt
Filed under: uncultured bacterium
Lineage: Bacteria
Description: partial 16S ribosomal RNA
Rfam family: Bacterial small subunit ribosomal RNA
Source: RNAcentral
AGUGAACGCUGGCGGUAGGCCUAACACAUGCAAGUCGAACGGCAGCACAGUAAGAGCUUGCUCUUACGGGUGGCGAGUGGCGGACGGGUGAGGAAUACAUCGGAAUCUACUUUUUCGUGGGGGAGAACGUAGGGAAACUUACGCUAAUACCGCAUACGACCUACGGGUGAAAGCAGGGGAUCUUCGGACCUUGCGCGAUUGAAUGAGCCGAUGUCGGAUUAGCUAGUUGGCGGGGUAAAGGCCCACCAAGGCGACGAUCCGUAGCUGGUCUGAGAGGAUGAUCAGCCACACUGGAACUGAGACACGGUCCAGGCUCCUACGGGAGGCAGCAGUGGGGAAUAUUGGACAAUGGGCGCAAGCCUGAUCCAGCCAUACCGCGUGGGUGAAGAAGGCCUUCGGGUUGUAAAGCCCUUUUGUUGGGAAAGAAAAGCAGCAGGUUAAUACCCCGCUGUUCUGACGGUACCCAAAGAAUAAGCACCGGCUAACUUCGUG